This is a long non-coding RNA of Ficedula albicollis (Collared flycatcher), 383 nucleotides long. RefSeq lists it as uncharacterized. Lineage: Eukaryota; Metazoa; Chordata; Aves; Passeriformes; Muscicapidae. The transcript has 2 exons. The record is from RefSeq and is a predicted model, not a curated record.
CUGACAUCAGGUCCCGGGAGCACCUUCGGAAGCAGCCCUGUGCUCCACUGGGGGUGCUGGAGGCUGCCCCUGCCAGCCCAGAGAGCAGCAAAAAGGAGGCUGAACUGGAGGAUUAGUCUGGUGCCAGCAGAACGUGCAGAGCUCCUCUCCACUGGCUCCUCUCCUGCCCCAAGGCUGGGUCCUGCUGGGUGCAGGAGCCCAGUGUCACAGCUGUGCCAGGCUGUCCCACAGGGCACCUCCAGCCACUGCUCAGGGAGAGCCCUUGCUGUGAAUUUCUCAGGGUUUGUUUUCAAGUACUGUUAAAACCUUUGUGUAAGCAAAGGCUCACAGGUAACUCUGCCUGUGGUGUGAGGGAAAAUCAGGUUAAAAAAAAAAAAAAAAAA